GGUCCGGCGGCAAACGGGUGAUUAACGCGUGGGACCGUACCUUUUGGUUCGAAACAACUGAGGGAACCUUCAGCUAAUACCGGAUAACCCCUUACGGGGAAAAAUUUAUCGCCAAAAGAUCGGCCCGCGUCUGAUUACUUAUUUGGUGAGGUAAGGGCUCACCAAGGCAACAAUCAUUACCUGGUCUGAAAGGAUGAUCACCCACUUUGGGACUGAAACACGGCCCAAACUCCUACGGGAGGCACCAGGGGGGAAUAUUGAACAAGGGGCGCAAGCCUGAUCCACCCUUGCCGCGGGAGUGAUGAAGGCCCUAGGGUUGUAAAGCUCUUUUGGGCGGAAAAAUAAGGACGGUACCGCAAGAAUAACCCCCGGCUAAUUUCGGGCCAGCACCCGCGGUAAUACAAAGGGGGCUAGCGUUGCUCGAAAUCCCUGGGCGUAAAGGGUGCGUAGGCGGGUCUUUAAGUCGGGGGUGAAAUCCUGAAGCUCAACUCCAAAACUGCCUUUGAUACUGAAGAUCUUGAGUUCGGGAGAGGUGAGUGGACCUGCGAUUGUAGAGGUGAAAUUCGUAGAUAUUCGCAGGAACACCAGUGGCGAAGGCGGCUCACUGGCCCGAUACUGACGCUGAGGCACGAAAGGGGUGGGGGAGCAA
This 649-nucleotide ribosomal RNA is filed under the name Bradyrhizobium yuanmingense. RNAcentral's name for it is "bacterial SSU rRNA". It matches the Rfam family "Bacterial small subunit ribosomal RNA", at positions 89 to 771 of the family's 1533-position model. Lineage: Bacteria; Pseudomonadati; Pseudomonadota; Alphaproteobacteria; Hyphomicrobiales; Nitrobacteraceae. The record is from RNAcentral.